UACGAAGGGGGCUAGCGUUGCUCGGAAUCACUGGGCGUAAAGCGCACGUAGGCGGCUUUCUAAGUCAGGGGUGAAAUCCUGGAGCUCAACUCCAGAACUGCCUUUGAUACUGGAGAGCUUGAGUCCGGAAGAGGUGAGUGGAACUCCGAGUGUAGAGGUGAAAUUCGUAGAUAUUCGGAAGAACCCCAGUGGCGAAGGCGGCUCACUGGUCCGGUACUGGCGCUGAGGUGCGAAAGCGUGGGGAGCAAACAGG
Molecule: ribosomal RNA, 253 nt
Filed under: uncultured bacterium
Lineage: Bacteria
Description: partial 16S ribosomal RNA
Rfam family: Bacterial small subunit ribosomal RNA
Source: RNAcentral